CAGCAACACCUUCGCAGAGUGAAGGAACACAACCUCCUCCAACUGCCUUUCCAACAAUUCUACCAACUUGAUGCUUAUCCCUUUGCUGCUUGGUAUUACAUUCCACAAAUCAUGCAGUAUAUUGCUUAUCCACCAUCCUACGACAUCACUAAACCCACUGCCUCUGAGAACGUUGAAAACGUUGUUGUUGUGCCAGAGUGGUGAAAAAUUAAGAAUUCUCAGGAACUCCACAAUUAUGGCUGUUGAUGUGACUGAAAAUUCCAUUCUCUAAAUUUCUCCUAUCUACCAUGUAAAACCAUCUUAUCCAAAGGCUUUGACUGUUAUUUUAGAAUAGGACAAUACCAAAUUGAGGGCAAUCUUCCUUUUUCAGUUCUCUACUGUGUAUUACAUAGAAUUAUCAUUAUUUUCCUUAAGCUAAAUU
Long non-coding RNA from Mirounga angustirostris (Northern elephant seal), 421 nucleotides. RefSeq lists it as uncharacterized. The transcript is spliced from 4 exons. The record is from RefSeq and is a predicted model, not a curated record. Lineage: Eukaryota; Metazoa; Chordata; Mammalia; Carnivora; Phocidae.